Molecule: ribosomal RNA, 456 nt
Filed under: uncultured anaerobic ammonium-oxidizing bacterium
Lineage: Bacteria
Description: bacterial SSU rRNA
Rfam family: Bacterial small subunit ribosomal RNA
Source: RNAcentral
UUCGCAAUGCCCGAAAGGGUGAACGAGCGACGCCGCGUGCGGGAUGAAGGCCCUUGGGUCGUAAACCGCUUUUGCAAGGGAAAAACUUACGUGAUGGUACCUUGCGAAUAAGAGGUUGCUAACUCUGUGCCAGCAGCAGCGGUAAUACAGAGACCUCUAGCGUUAUCCGGAUUUAUUGGGCGUAAAGCGCGUGUAGGCGGAUGGGAACGUCGGUCUUUGAAAGCCCCCGGCUCAACCGGGGAAGCGGAGCCGAAACGACCGAUCUGGAGGGACGUAGGGGGACCUGGAACUUCCGGUGGAGCGGUGAAAUGCGUUGAGAUCGGAAGGAACGCCCGUGGCGAAAGCGACUCUCUGGCCCGUAACUGACGCUGAGUGUGCGAAAGCUAGGGGAGCAAACGGGAUUAGAUACCCCGGUAGUCCUAGCCGUAAACGAUGGGCACUAAGUAGAGGGGUUUU